RNAcentral lists this ribosomal RNA (1527 nucleotides) under Neisseria meningitidis M7124. Its description in RNAcentral is "bacterial SSU rRNA". It matches the Rfam family "Bacterial small subunit ribosomal RNA". The record is from RNAcentral. Lineage: Bacteria; Pseudomonadati; Pseudomonadota; Betaproteobacteria; Neisseriales; Neisseriaceae.
GAGUUUGAUCCUGGCUCAGAUUGAACGCUGGCGGCAUGCUUUACACAUGCAAGUCGGACGGCAGCACAGAGAAGCUUGCUUCUCGGGUGGCGAGUGGCGAACGGGUGAGUAACAUAUCGGAACGUACCGAGUAGUGGGGGAUAACUGAUCGAAAGAUCAGCUAAUACCGCAUACGUCUUGAGAGAGAAAGCAGGGGACUUUCGGGCCCUGCGCUAUUCGAGCGGCCGAUAUCUGAUUAGCUAGUUGGUGGGGUAAAGGCCUACCAAGGCGACGAUCAGUAGCGGGUCUGAGAGGAUGAUCCGCCACACUGGGACUGAGACACGGCCCAGACUCCUACGGGAGGCAGCAGUGGGGAAUUUUGGACAAUGGGCGCAAGCCUGAUCCAGCCAUGCCGCGUGUCUGAAGAAGGCCUUCGGGUUGUAAAGGACUUUUGUCAGGGAAGAAAAGGCUGUUGCUAAUAUCAGCGGCUGAUGACGGUACCUGAAGAAUAAGCACCGGCUAACUACGUGCCAGCAGCCGCGGUAAUACGUAGGGUGCGAGCGUUAAUCGGAAUUACUGGGCGUAAAGCGGGCGCAGACGGUUACUUAAGCAGGAUGUGAAAUCCCCGGGCUCAACCCGGGAACUGCGUUCUGAACUGGGUGACUCGAGUGUGUCAGAGGGAGGUAGAAUUCCACGUGUAGCAGUGAAAUGCGUAGAGAUGUGGAGGAAUACCGAUGGCGAAGGCAGCCUCCUGGGACAACACUGACGUUCAUGCCCGAAAGCGUGGGUAGCAAACAGGAUUAGAUACCCUGGUAGUCCACGCCCUAAACGAUGUCAAUUAGCUGUUGGGCAACUUGAUUGCUUAGUAGCGUAGCUAACGCGUGAAAUUGACCGCCUGGGGAGUACGGUCGCAAGAUUAAAACUCAAAGGAAUUGACGGGGACCCGCACAAGCGGUGGAUGAUGUGGAUUAAUUCGAUGCAACGCGAAGAACCUUACCUGGUCUUGACAUGUACGGAAUCCUCCAGAGACGGAGGAGUGCCUUCGGGAGCCGUAACACAGGUGCUGCAUGGCUGUCGUCAGCUCGUGUCGUGAGAUGUUGGGUUAAGUCCCGCAACGAGCGCAACCCUUGUCAUUAGUUGCCAUCAUUCAGUUGGGCACUCUAAUGAGACUGCCGGUGACAAGCCGGAGGAAGGUGGGGAUGACGUCAAGUCCUCAUGGCCCUUAUGACCAGGGCUUCACACGUCAUACAAUGGUCGGUACAGAGGGUAGCCAAGCCGCGAGGCGGAGCCAAUCUCACAAAACCGAUCGUAGUCCGGAUUGCACUCUGCAACUCGAGUGCAUGAAGUCGGAAUCGCUAGUAAUCGCAGGUCAGCAUACUGCGGUGAAUACGUUCCCGGGUCUUGUACACACCGCCCGUCACACCAUGGGAGUGGGGGAUACCAGAAGUAGGUAGGGUAACCGCAAGGAGUCCGCUUACCACGGUAUGCUUCAUGACUGGGGUGAAGUCGUAACAAGGUAGCCGUAGGGGAACCUGCGGCUGGAUCACC